RNAcentral lists this ribosomal RNA (440 nucleotides) under uncultured bacterium. RNAcentral describes it as "partial 16S ribosomal RNA". It matches the Rfam family "Bacterial small subunit ribosomal RNA", at positions 338 to 795 of the family's 1533-position model. The record is from RNAcentral.
CCUACGGGGGGCAGCAGUAGGGAAUAUUGCUCAAUGGGGGAAACCCUGAAGCAGCCACGCCGCGUGGAGGAUGAAGGUUUUCGGAUUGUAAACUCCUUUUGUUAGAGAAGAUAAUGACGGUAUCUAACGAAUAAGCACCGGCUAACUCCGUGCCAGCAGCCGCGGUAAUACGGAGGGUGCAAGCGUUACUCGGAAUCACUGGGCGUAAAGAGCGCGUAGGCGGGAUAGCAAGUCAGAUGUGAAAUCCUAUGGCUUAACCAUAGAACUGCAUUUGAAACUGUUAUUCUAGAGUAUGGGAGAGGUAGGCGGAAUUCUUGGUGUAGCGGUAAAAUGCGUAGAGAUCAAGAGGAAUACUCAUUGCGAAGGCGACCUGCUAGAACAUAACUGACGCUGAUGCGCGAAAGCGUGGGGAGCAAACAGGAUUAGAUACCCCGGUAGUC